UUGAAUGCCACUGUAGAGCGAAUAACGAGGAAACUUUCUGGGCAAUCGAGAAAAUUUGACAAUUGAGUGGCAUCCGGCAAGUGAAAAUGGCUUGGCCCAGAUAAUGCAAGUGGGCCAAGCCGAAAUGCUUCAAGGACAACCGGCCAGAGUCGCAUUAUUGCCAAAUGGCAAUUAAACUCAAACACAUUGUACACACACAUGUGUGUGUGUGACCCCUGCUGUCCUGCAGAGAAAUGUGGAUAUGAGCAUCAUAAUCAUUAAACCGUUUUAUAGUAUGGUGUCGCCAUAAUUAUUCUAUUAUUAAGUACCAAAACAUUUGUCAUGCCAGCCAUGCCAGGAAUUGCUCGCAUAUUUGUAGUAGCAGCGGCUGUUGCAGCUGUUUAUAAAUGAUUAAACCUGGCCAACUCGAGGGCGUCCCGGGGCAUUGGGCAUCCUUGGUCCUUGGUCCUUGGUCCUUGGCCCUGCUCGAAUGUAUCCUUGUGGCCUUACACAACGUCUGUGAUUGUGCGGUGGUGGUCAAGUGUGUGUGUGUGUGUCCUGCUGUUGAACGCAAACUUAGCCGCUUGGCAAAUAAACAUUUUAGCAAAUUUACUGCCAACUGACAGCUGUCAGCUUUAUAACCACCAUCAAACAAUGGCAAUGCGAUGGUGCGGGGUACUUCCAGUGGCUUUCUGGAUGCGAGGUGUGCACAGACCGCAUCACUAUUUGCCAGGUGAGUGGUCGGGAGGGAGAGAGUCCUGCGACAACUAAGCACACAGCAAGGGUCACACAUACUGAAGCACAAAAGUGGAGGAUACUGGCUAAAGUAGCUAAGCACAUAGACACACACACCCACACAUAUGCACGCGUUGAAGGGGACGGGCAGCCAGGCAGUUUUGCCUACUUAACACUUCAUUGAAAAACCACUUGGAAAGCCACUCCACCCACGUGGGCAGAACCCACGAAAUAGGAAGGAUACAUAAGGGCACUCAGCGAAAAUUACUCGAAUUUCGGAAUACAAUUUCGGCCAACUAAAAAUAACAAGUCCAUAUACCAAGGGAUUCCAAAAGUUAGUUAGUUCUUCGGAAAUUACUUCUUUCAAUUGGCGCAUUCAGAAAGCAAAUAUUUGUUGCUGUGUAGUAGUACAGCAAUAGUCCGUUCAGUGGAGGAAAUAAACUGUUUGCACUGGAUGGAAAUACGAUGAAGUCUCUUUUUGUGUGGGCCAACCAUGCCGCUGCCCAUUUUCCCGGCCACCUCACAAUCCCGGCUUGACUUUGACAUUCCGCAGGUUAAUCGCGAGAGAGAGUGGUCCAAAGGCAUAGCCGGGCCAAUUCCGCUCCGGCUCAAAGCAUUCCGGAUGGCAAUUCUGGCCGAGCGAGCGAGCGUGCGCGGACUGUCCACUGCAGGCAUGCAUAAAGUAACUAUAUACUAUAUAGUAUACAAACAAAAACAAAAAACAACAAAAAAAAACAAGGAAGAAAAUAAACACACAAGGCUGUUGAUACAAAAAUGAAAGCACACACACACACACACACACUGGCACUGGCACAGGCACAAAAUGCUUGACAUUUUCGCAUAGCUCAGAAAAUUGCUACUGCUGCUGCGGUGCCUUUGAGUUUGCCGUCGCUGGCGGAUUUGUUUCACUCCUGGCAUCCCGGUUUAUUACACACAAAUUUGCACAAAUUUAUAUUAAGCGGAGAGCAAGUGGCACUGGACAUGGCCAGGCGGCACUACUGGAAUCCCCAGCACAACUGGCACCCAGUUUUCAGGGCUCACGGGUUGCAGGAGCUGGAGCUGGAGCAGGAGCCGAAGCAUCACAGGAGAGCAUCCCAAGUAACCCCUGCUAUGGCGGCCAGUCACUUAAAUGCCCCAGAAAUAAACUGCAACUGCACACAGUGUGCUCAAGUUAAGACAACUUUUGGCAGCUGCAUUUGAACACUCACAAAGGGCCAAAUGUUGCUGUUGAGCAGCGAACUUGGCAUGCUCUUCAUCAUCAGCAGCUGAUUGGCGCGGUGUUUACCAAGAAUGCGAUUUUAAGAUACAUUUUGGGCUUUUCCAUUUAAUGCACAUAUAGUUUUAUCAUGAAUGUGUCACAAAAAUCAAUUCUUUUAUAAGUGUAGAUAUGUUAAAAAGGAAACGUUAUGCAUAGAAUUAUAAUAUUAUUUUAACUUUCGA
Molecule: long non-coding RNA, 2154 nt
Organism: Drosophila santomea
Lineage: Eukaryota; Metazoa; Arthropoda; Insecta; Diptera; Drosophilidae
Exons: 2
Source: RefSeq, a predicted model, not a curated record